AUGGAGGCGCAGGAUGACUGCGGAAAGUGGCGCCAAAUCCCGGCGUUCGGCGAUUGGAACAUGUGGGAAGAGAUGCCCGUCACCCAGUACUUCGAGCCGGCGGCCACCUUCUUCUUCACGGCGCAGGCAGGGGAGGACGACGUCGACCUCUUCAAGGUGCCCCACUUCGCCGCCAACCCCUACACCUACAAGAAGUGCGUCGUCCGAGUAAAGAAGAGGGAGGAGAACGAGAAGCCGAACGCCAACGCCAACGCCGGUGCUAUGUCCGGGAGGAGGAAGAAGGGGGGCAGGAAGCAGCAGCAGCAGAACCACCAGCAAGGGAAGAAGGAGCAGCAGCAACAGAGGAGGAAGAAGCCCAAGGCCAAGGCGGCGGCGGCGGCGGCGGUGGACGAGGACCUCUACAAGAUCUCCCCCAACGUGAUCUGCAAGGUGCAGAAGAAGAAGUUGUUGAGGAACCUGCUGGGAGGGUGCCUGGGCCUCAACUGCAUCGCCUGA
RNAcentral lists this ribosomal RNA (495 nucleotides) under Triticum aestivum (bread wheat). RNAcentral describes it as "partial small subunit ribosomal RNA". Lineage: Eukaryota; Viridiplantae; Streptophyta; Magnoliopsida; Poales; Poaceae. The record is from RNAcentral.